UAGCUGGUCUGAGAGGAUGAUCAGCCACACGGGAAUGACACACGGUCCAGACUCCUACGGGAGGCAGCAGUGGGGAAUAUUGCACAAUGGGGGAAACCGUGAUGCACCCAUGCCGCGUGUGUGAAGAAGGCCUUCGGGUUGUAAAGCACUUUCAGCGAGGAGGAAAGGUUGGUAGCUAAUAACUGCCAGCUGUGACGUUACUCGCAGAAGAAGCACCGGCUAACUCCGUGCCAGCAGCCGCGGUAAUACGGAGGGUGCCAGCGUUAAUCGGAAUUCCUGGGCGUAAAGCGCACGCGGGCGGUUGGAUAAGUUAGAUGUGAAAGCCCCGGGCUCAACCUGGGAAUUGCAUUUAAAACUGUCCAGCUAGAGUCUUGUAGAGGGGGGUAGAAUUCCAGGUGUAGCGGUGAAAUGCGUAGAGAUCUGGAGGAAUACCGGUGGCGAUGGCGGCCCCCUGGACAAAGACUGACGCUCAGGUGCGAAAGCGUGGGGAGCAAACAGGAUUAGAUCUCCUGGUGCUCCACGCCUUCCACAACUCCGAUUUGGAGGGUGUUUCCCUGAGACGUGGCUUCCCUAGGUAACCCUUAAAAUCGUCCCUGUGGGGAGUACGGCCGCAAGAUUAAAACUCUAAUAAAUUGACUUCCACCCACACCCCCGGUGGAGCUUGUGGUUUAAUUUGCUGCAACGCGAAGAUCCUCACCUGUCCUUGACAUGUCCAGAAUCCUCGAACGAUGCGGGAGUGCCCUCGGGAAUCAGCAAACAGGUGCUGCAUGGCGUCGUCAGCUCGUGUCCUGAGAUGUUGGGUUAAGUCCCGCAACGAGAGCAACCCCUAUCCUUUGUUACCAGCACAUAUUGGUGGGAAUUGAAGGAAAACUACCGGCCAUAAACCGGAGGGAGGUGGGGAUGACGUCAAGUCAUCAUGGCCCUUACGGCCAGGGCUACACACGUGCUACAAUGGCGCGUACAGAGGGCUGCAAGCUAGCGAUAGUGAGCGAAUCCCAAAAAGCGCGUCGUAGUCCGGAUCGGAGUCUGCAACUCGACUCCGUGAAGUCGGAAUCGCUAGUAAUCGCAAAUCAGAAUGUUGCGGUGAAUACGUUCCCGGGCCUUGUAGCACCACCGCCCGUCACACCAUGGGAGUGGGUUGCACCAGAACUUGAUAAC
This 1158-nucleotide ribosomal RNA is filed under the name Aeromonas veronii. RNAcentral's name for it is "bacterial SSU rRNA". It matches the Rfam family "Bacterial small subunit ribosomal RNA", at positions 284 to 1434 of the family's 1533-position model. Lineage: Bacteria; Pseudomonadati; Pseudomonadota; Gammaproteobacteria; Aeromonadales; Aeromonadaceae. The record is from RNAcentral.